UACGUAGGGUGCAAGCGUUAAUCGGAAUUACUGGGCGUAAAGCGUACGCAGGCGGCUAUGUAAGACAGGUGUGAAAUCCCCGGGCCUAACCUGGGAACUGCAUUUGUGACUGCAUCGCUAGAGUACGGCAGAGGGGGAUGGAAUUCCGCGUGUAGCAGUGAAAUGCGUAGAUAUGCGGAGGAACACCGAUGGCGAAGGCAAUCCCCUGGGCCUGUACUGACGCUCAUGCACGAAAGCGUGGGGAGCAAACAGG
Molecule: ribosomal RNA, 253 nt
Filed under: uncultured bacterium
Lineage: Bacteria
Description: partial 16S ribosomal RNA
Rfam family: Bacterial small subunit ribosomal RNA
Source: RNAcentral